RNAcentral lists this long non-coding RNA (1714 nucleotides) under Phoenix dactylifera (date palm). Its description in RNAcentral is "long non-coding RNA (PDAC_LNC001399)". The record is from RNAcentral. Lineage: Eukaryota; Viridiplantae; Streptophyta; Magnoliopsida; Arecales; Arecaceae.
CGCCAUAUAUGUUCCUGCUACUGAAUAUUUCAUAAGAUCAAUUAAUGGAGGUAGAAUGUAGGUUUGCUUUGUUUAUGUAUAGCUAGAUGUUCUUCUAGAAGUACCAAAAUGAAACUGGAGAGAAGGGGGUGGGGUGGGGGGAAUGGAUAUUGCUUCGCAUCUUUAUACGCAUUUAAACAAUAUUAAUACAACUAAGCUGCUAACAAGAAAAGUUAUAAUAGAAGCCAGUCUCACGUUAAUCAGAUAUCAUAACUAUAUCAUAACUAUCUAAACUAAGCCACCACUUUCAAUUAAAAAAAAAUUAAACAAAGAGUCCAUUAAAACUGGGGUAAACAAGAAAAAUCGAAGAUGAUCUACAAACCAACCAACAACUCGACAAUUCAUGAAAUAAGGAGGAAAGGGAGAUCCCUACAUGAAGGUCAACGUAUAGUCAGUUUCAUUUAAUUAGAUGUUUCAAGUCAUGGUACUAUUUGAACCAAGAUUACAAGCAAGCAUCUGGGAGAGAUGUUGUUCUUGGACUCAUCAUCAGGAUGCCUUCAGGUGAUGAAUGCUAAUCUCACUCGCAUAAAUUGUCAUUAAUUUUAAGGAUCUGAAAUAUUGAGCAGUUAGUUGAAACUAUCAGCUGAAAGAUCGCGAUCACCCUAAUGGAAGUUCAAGUUCAGAAAUGAGAACAAAGUUAAAUACCUGCCAUAACAAAAUCAUCGAAGCACAAGUUCUCUACUAGGAUUUUUUUAUGAAUUGUACUAUGAGGUCCCUUAGGUUUCUUCCUCCCUUUUGGAGUGAGAAAUUAGCAUCUUAAGGCAUUCUCGUGCUCUUUAAUAUUGAUUUAAGUUCUAUAUUAAAGGGUUAUGUCGUGCUGAGUUGCAUGUCCAGUGCACAUGAAGAUGGAGUUGAAGGAUAACUUGGGGGUGGAGACGCCAUCCCCCAGAAUUCCCAUUAUCGUAGUAGAUAGGAAGUUAUCGUCCUGGGAGAGGUGUCAGUCCCAGCAACUUGAGAUAGCAGCUGCAUCAGAAUAUUUUCACGAUAGCAGCAAAACCUUAAACAUGAUAACUGAAAGAUAAAUAUGUAAGAAUUAAAAGUACUUUGCCAAACAUCAGCUAUGAUAAUUUAAAAGAACAAGCCCAAAGUCAAAGAAGAAGAGAAAGAACUUGGAAGCAAAGAAGUUAAAGAACAACCAAGCCAUAAGCAUAAAACUAAAUAACAGCCAAACCAGAGGAACUAAUGGUAGGUCCCUGAAGCUUUUGCUCCAGCAUUCGAUCGAAGCCUUUCUCAAUAUACUCUGGAAUGAAAUACAUACAACAUCAGUGCAGUCAAAAUCAUUCAAGUACUAAUUAAAGUGGAUUCAGCAAGGGGCCGAAGGUGAUGACAGAAGCAUAGAGAGCACAAAGGAGUGAGAUGCAAAGUGCGCAUGCCAUCAUCUGUGCUCUCUAUCUUCUGUCAACAGCAUCACCGGAUGGCUCCUUUCCCCUCUUGCUGACAACAAGAGCAGCAGGAUGAUUGCAGAAUAGAGAAAACAGAUGAACAAAUGGAAUUGGACUAGAAAGAAAAUAUGUAUACAAAAAAGAGUCUUGAAGCCUACAAGUACCAAAAGGAGUCUUCCACACCCUCCCAUUUAUAGAAGGGUGUGAGGUAGAACGGUGACUCAAGUGCAAAGGGAGUAUAUUUCUCCUGGUUUUGCCCCGAUUCCAUGCACCAUGAUUAGCUGAUGGUGCAU